GUCUAUGGCCAUACCACCCUGAAUGCACCCGAUCUCGUCUGAUCUCAGAAGCUAAGCAGGGUCAGGCCUGGUUAGUACUUGGAUGGGAGA
Molecule: ribosomal RNA, 90 nt
Filed under: Ailuropoda melanoleuca (giant panda)
Lineage: Eukaryota; Metazoa; Chordata; Mammalia; Carnivora; Ursidae
Source: RNAcentral